CCUACGGGAGGCAGCAGUGAGGAAUAUUGGUCAAUGGACGAGAGUCUGAACCAGCCAAGUAGCGUGAAGGAUGAAUGCCCUCGGGGUUGUAAACUUCUUUUAUAAAGGAAUAAAACGAGGCACGUGUGCCUUUUUGCAUGUACUUUAUGAAUAAGGAUCGGCUAACUCCGUGCCAGCAGCCGCGGUAAUACGGAGGAUCCGAGCGUUAUUCGGAUUUAUUGGGUUUAAAGGGAGCGUAGAUGGGUUGGUAAGUUAGUUGUGAAAGUUUGCGGCUCAAACGUAAAAUUGCAAUUGAUACUGGCAGACUAGAGUAAGGUUGAGGUAGGCGGAAUUCGUGGUGUAGCGGUGAAAUGCGUAGAUAUCACGAAGAACCCCGAUUGCGAAGGCAGCUUACUA
RNAcentral lists this ribosomal RNA (396 nucleotides) under uncultured bacterium. RNAcentral describes it as "partial 16S ribosomal RNA". It matches the Rfam family "Bacterial small subunit ribosomal RNA", at positions 338 to 731 of the family's 1533-position model. The record is from RNAcentral.